Molecule: ribosomal RNA, 497 nt
Filed under: uncultured bacterium
Lineage: Bacteria
Description: partial 16S ribosomal RNA
Rfam family: Bacterial small subunit ribosomal RNA
Source: RNAcentral
GAUGAACGCUGGCGGCGUGCCUAAUACAUGCAAGUCGAGCGAACAGAUGAGGAGCUUGCUCCUCUGACGUUAGCGGCGGACGGGUGAGUAACACGUGGAUAACCUACCUAUAAGACUGGGAUAACUUCGGGAAACCGGAGCUAAUACCGGAUAAUAUAUUGAACCGCAUGGUUCAAUAGUGAAAGACGGUUUUGCUGUCACUUAUAGAUGGAUCAGCGCCGCAUUAGCUAGUUGGUAAGGUAACGGCUUACCAAGGCAACGAUUCGUAGCCGACCUGGGAGGGUGAUCGGCCACACUGGAACUGAGACACGGUCCAGACUCCUACGGGAGGCAGCAGUAGGGAAUCUUCCGCAAUGGGCGAAAGCCUGACGGAGCAACGCCGCGUGAGUGAUGAGGGUCUUCGGAUCGUAAAACUCUGUUAUUAGGGAAGAACAAAUGUGUAAGUAACUAUGCACGUCUUGACGGUACCUAAUCAGAAAGCCACGGCUAACUACGUG